UUAUUCGCUCGCCUCAGCCUCCCAAAGUGCUGGUAUUACAGGUGUGAGCCACCAAGCCCGGCCCAGUGCUCUUUCUAGUAAUGCACCCACUCCUCUGAUCCCACAGCUGCUGGGGAACAGCUCAAAGUAGAGCUGUGACCAUGGAUCUCAAAGGCGCCCGACCAUGAGUCAGUCUUGUGGGGGUUUCGUCAGCUCUGCUGAGCUGGCCCACUCUGGUGCCACCUGUGGGAAGAAGGACAUGAACCCACACAUCUGCUCACACCAGUCCCUUGCUCCAAACCCUUCGGGCCUUUCCUGUUCACGUGUCUCAACCUGGGUUCCUCAUAAGCGCUUGUCUUCCUGAAGGACUGAUUUUAUUUAAAGUUCUAGUGGAAAAAGACACCAUUAUUUUUCAUUUUAAUUAAGAAAGGAAGCAAAAUUCCCCUGAAUCUAGGAUAAUACAGGAACUUUGGCGCUUCACAUUAUUGCUACUCAUUAAGGGGGACGAGUUUAGUUUUCUCUAACAAUGGGGCUCCUUUAGGGGAAGUAUAAAGAGAAACAGGACAAAACCCUCCCUCCUGAUGGCCUCCAGAUCCUCCAAGGUUCGACCUUGCCAUGUGCACAGCCUCCAUCCCUGCACUGGAAGGGCUGGGGCCACACUGAGUCCCUGGGAUGCCCAGUGCACUCUGGGACCUGCCACUCUGCACUCACUGCCCCUGUAACUCAGCGUGUCUCCAUCUGGGUGCCAUUAACCUUGGGGGUGGGUGACUAUUCUCCUGCAGGGGCUGUCCUGGGCAUUGUUGCCACGUCCCUGCCUGGCCUCGACUCACUAGAGUAGCACCCCCAAGUCAGGACAAUCAAAAAUGUCUGUAGAAAAUGCCAAAUGUCCUGUGGUCAAACCGCCCCUGCCUCCAGCCCUGCUUGGAUGGGAGCAGGCUUCUUGAGGCGCUCUGCCUAGUGAUCUGACUCUUCUUUUAUGCUGCAGUGCAAACAUCGCCUCCCCUGUGAGGUUUACUGUGACUGCCCCAGGCAGCUUCGAUGUCCUCGCCCUGCCAGCUGUAGAGUUUGAUUGGUCUGCACCCAUUCCGUGCUUAUUUAUGAGAAUGUAAUUGUAUGCCCACCCUGGUUAGACUACGAACCUAGAGGUCAAGGAGGAUGCCUGCGACUCUACACGCUUCCAUCCUCAGCACUUAGCACACUGUCUGAUCUACUGAAGGAGUUGCGGAAAUGCAGAAGGAAUGGGCGAAUGGGAGGUUGGCCAUUGGAGGCUGGGACUCCCCCCAUGAGGACUCCUCAGCGAAGCUUCACGAUUGUCCCUUCCUCUCAGAUCACCCAAAAGCGCAGCCACCGGCAUAAUCUUGGCAUCACUACACCACGUGAUACUUGUUUGAAACCUAAUUUUGCCAAAGAAAUAACCCAGAUUUGUAUUAGUGGUUGUACACAUGGUAGCAGUGGUAAAGUAAUGGCAGCUGCUGGGGCUGUAUGAGCACCAGGUGUUUUCACUCUAACUGCUCACCCUCACUACCUUUCUGUGAUCUACACCUUAUUAUUCUCAUUUUACAGAUGGGAAAACUGAGGCUCUGAGAGACUCAUUCACAAGCUCAGCAUCUUAGUGGCCGUGGGAUCAGAAUCUAAGGCAAUUUUCUCCAAACACCAGUUGCUGCCCUGUCUUUGGUUUCUAAAUUGUUAUUCUUAAGGGUGAUUCUCAACAAGCAGGCAUUUAAAAUCGGAAUGUCCAAAGUGUGCCAGAUGAAUGAGUUACUGAUGCCUUGCUGCAAUUUGUGUCACUUCUUAUCAUUGCAACGAACAUCAAAUUCUAUCAAAAUAUGGGAAAAAAUCAUUUUGAUGUUGCAUUUGCAUAUCCAAGGAUUGCAGGAUGGUUUGUGUAAUCAAAUUAUGUAGAGUUGUAAAAAGGGAGCAUCAUUUAAAUAGCUUACAAAAUUACUUUGAAGAUGCACAUUAAAAUCUAAAGAACCCAUCGCCUCCAAGAUCUUUACAAAAAGUUAAAUGCUAAUUGAUUAUGACAGCUUUGUCUUUAUCACUGGCACCAUUCUCCAUUUCUACUCUGUCAAUAUCACAGCUCAAAUAUCACUCUGUCCUCUGUUCCUCGUCUAACCACAUUCAUUCCACGCUGUAAUAACAGAUGGAAGUUUAUGCAUGACUAGCUUUUCCCCCUUCUCGCCAUUGUUGAUCAAAAGGAGCAGCCCGAAAAAAAAACAGAAUUUGCUGAAAUUCUGAUUUCUUUCAGCAGUUUUAUAGAUUUUAUAACUUAUCUUUUAUUGACUAUGCAAGGUCUCUGCUCCCCAGCAUCUGUUGGUUGCAUCUGGGGAGAAAGAUAAAUUCCCUUUUCUUUAAUGCUACUGAACCAAAUUUAAGAGAUAGACAAACAAACAGGUCUCAGUAGAAGAGGACAGCAUCACAUCCUUCUUCUGCAGCCCAGCUGUCCUCUUUCCCAAUCCCUGUGUGGGCAGGACAGGAGGAGGAGGAAGUGCCUUGUAGACCAUGGAAUCUGCCAGCCCAUCAGCGAUGAAGGUGCCACAGACUGGCUAAUGGGGCUUAGGGAGGUGCUCCCCCCAGAGAGGGGACCUGGGGUCAUAGCUAUGAGCACAAACUUUGAAGAGGCUGCUUUGUAAACUUUAUAAAAAAUUCACAUCAUUUACAAUUUCUCAGACUUAAAGAAUUGUGCCCGGUCACCCAGAGACAUGAUUAUACAUCACAGAACUUCAUUAUAAUAAUGGCCCCGGUACUCCAACUUCUUGAAAGCCUCAGCUGUUCGAUUCAGCCUCUUCAGCUCCGUAACUGUUUAUAAGAUUAAUAGACUCUGAUGCAUAAUUGACUAUCGCACCAGGAGGAAAAAAAAAGGAGAGAGAGUCUAAUCGUAGCCCUGGUAAAAGCAACAUUCCCAUAAAGAGAUGGUGUUUGUCCACAUGGACAGGGUCGAGGAUGAGGAGAAUGGCUAGCACCACCAAGUCAGGAGAGAAGGGGAGAUGGAUGAGAAGUCAGCCCCGGGGAAGGGAGUCUUGGAAAGUCUGAUGGACAUGUCCCAUCACUUAGAGGCUUCAGUGAACACCCUAAAAACUCUGCUCAUUGCAGAACUGGGUGGGAUUCAGGGCUACAGCAGGGAGCAGGGGAGCUAGGAAGAGGAAAGAAAGAGGACAAGAAGGUCCCACAAUGCAGGAAGUGGAAGGAAAUAGGGAAUCCACAGAGCAGCGGGAUGGGGUAAGAGCUUGACAUCUAGUGGCAGGGAGCUUAGAGAGAGAAUGAGUGCCCUGGCCCCCCUUUCCCUUGCUGAGGUUAUGGUUACCAGGUGUCACACCAGGUCCCGCAGAAGACCAGACACACUCUAGGAAUUACGGCAGGGCAGGCCUUUCUCAAGGCAGAGGAGCAAGGGCAUCACUGCAGGCUGGAGGGAAUGGAGGCCUUGGGUGAGUGAGUGGUGGGGAAGCCACCGCCACACAGGGGAUGGGCAGUGGCCAGGGCUCAGAGGCUGGGCAAGCUCCAGAAGGCUUGGAGAGGGGCCCAGCUGGACCAAGGCAGGCCCCAGAUGGCCAGGGCAAGAGCACCCCUGAGCUUCUAGGCUUCCAUCAGGGGGUCCCUGCAUGCUCAGCCUGUCAUUUGUAUAAAACUUGAAUAAAGGAGUGAGUCUAACCAAAAGGUGGAAACGGCAAGCCCAGUGUUCUUUGCUAGCCUACCUUUCCCCUGCUCUCCUUUACCUGCCCCUCUUCUCAGGACUUACUUCAUUCUUCUGGAAGAAGUCUUGCAGUCUUCCUGGAAAACAAACACAACAGAAAAGCAAGCAAGAUGAGAGAAGACUGACAUGGAGACAGCCUUAUUUUCAACUCUGUAGUGAGAGACGCAUGCCGGAGAGACCUCACCCUGUUGUUAGAGGGAAGAGCAAUUGAAGGUUAAAAAAAAAUCCCUUAGGGCCUGUUGGGUGCUAAUUUGACCUGGCAAUGAGAUAAAGUUAGGCCUUGGCUGUCUUCAAGCAGCUGGGAUCGGAAUGCCAUCUACUCAGCAUAGGAGUCAAAGAAUUCCCUGGCAAUUGAUUGCUUUCCACUUGCAGAGCUACUGAAUAAAUAGAAAAGUAAUUAGCAGUGUGCUAGGGCUAGAUGUAUCAGGUGGAAUUUCUUUACAGCAGAAAGAACUAAGAGAAUCAAGAAGUCAUUUUGUGUCCACUGUCAGAUGAGUCGUUCUGUUUCUUUCUCUAGGAUGGACACGUUAUCUCUGCUUUUCUUCAAGAAGAAAAACUUUGGAAUUUCCUAUCGUAUCUUCACUUUAAUCAAGGGGAAAAGAAGAAAAGUCUUAAGUGCCUAAAAUUGGUCCAAAAAUAAAGAAUUCUUUUCGCUUUUCCAUUUAAUGAUUUUGCUCCUGAAACCUAUGGAUGAUUUUCUUUUGUUGUAUUUUUUGUUUUUUCCUCAACUAUUAAAUAUAUGAAUUUUGAAAUGUGAACUGAAGGUCUCAUUAUGAGUUCUUCUCCCUUUGAAAAAUAAAUGGCAUUAUGUCAUUUACAACAGCAGGAAGAGAUGGAGUUUCACAUGAAGGAAAUUUAUGCUCAGUUGGAAAGAGAAAAGGCGUCUAAGCCAUUUAUUUUUAGAUGCCUUUAAAAAUAUAUAUUUGAAAGUACUAAACUCAAUUUCACAUGUCCAGAAUGGUAUAAUCUAAUUUUAGUAUAUUAAUUAACAAUAAAAGUAGUGUUUUGCCUCAUACAAAGGAAUAAAGUAAUUAACUUACUGAGGAAAUGGGGUCAUAUGAUUUUACUUUGAGAGGAUAAUGAAUGACACUGGGUAACUGUAACACAAGGGUUUUGCAGAGCUGCUCUGGCGGUGGAGCCUGUUUGGAAUUCUCUGUGGAACACCUCACUAAGAACCAGCUUUCUCCCCGCGAAGCCUCACCUGUCUUGACUCAGACUAAGUGUGCACACGUCAGCAAGGCCGGCCAGUGCUCGUUAGGAAGAGCGCUGCGUGCAGGGGAGGCGUGUGUCCGAGGACUCUCCAGGCUUAGUUGAGGGUCCAGACACUCCCCAAAUCAACAUGUCCUUGGGCUGGCUUGAGCACCAAGGUGCUUUCUACUUGAGGAAGGAAUUCCAGCAUUUUACAUCUUACAUAUUUGGACCUUUGAACUUGAAAUAUUUUGUUACACUUCACAUAGCUUCAUUCCCUGGGGGGGAGAAACCUAGUCUUUCAAGUGGUUAUUAUAAAGCUAAGUACAUAAAUAUGCAUGAGAGGCCAUUAUUACCACAAGAUGAUACUUAAAAUGUUCAAGUGCCUCUUACUAAGAUUUUUUGACUUGUUCAGUGACAGCAAAUCAAAGUCUCCAGUGUUUUGUUGCUGAACUUUGCCUUUGAUUGUUCUUUCAAAGUUUUCAAGGAAAGGGAAUGGUUUUUGGAGGCCUGACUGGGAUUCAUUCAUUCAUUCAUUCAACACAUAUGUAAUGAGGUUUAAUUACCCAUGUCCAUGUUUAAUGCAGAAUGUCCUAUUGAAGGCAUUGUAGCCAGAGCUCUGGAGGUUGGGUCAUGGAAUUUCCAGAUUUUAGAUCUGGAACUGAGGCACAGAGAGGCUAAGUGGCUUUUCUCAUGUCACAUUGUGACAUAUAGUUGAGGCUGACAAUCAGACCUGGCACUCCGCGCCAGGUUAGGGCUGGUGAGUCAAGGCCUCUGAAAGGCUCGAGGGCCCAAAGUAGUGGGUCCCCCGGGAACCAUAAUACUGAAGAGUUGCAUUUUGAUCCAUUUUUUACUUCUAGAACUUAAUAUUACAAUGUGGAAAUAUUAUAUAGUGUUAUCAGAACCUUCAAGGCUCUUAAACAUGACCUUCACAUUCGGAAUUGACUCCAGUUCAACCCUAUGCCUGCAGCAAGUUCCCACUGGGAGAAGAUAAAAUUUUCAUCUCUGGAACUAAUAACCCAUGCUGCCCUGUUCUCCAUGGGAAGGGAGAAAUGGCAAUGGAAACCAACAUGGAGCCAGAGAGAGGAAACAGGUCUACCAGAAGCCUCAGAUUUUCCCUCUCUGGGAGAAGGACUACCAGGCAAGUAGCCCUUGGGUUCUGACAACUUGGGUUUUAGUCCCAAGUGAACAAAGUGUAAAGAAAGCCUUUAAAGAUGUCUGCUUCCGGGAUCCCAAUCUCUGAUUUACAGGCAGAAUCUUUGGAAAGUGAAAUAGGUGGAACCCACCCAGGGUGUGCCCUCUUCCCUGUUCAUCCCCAGUGUGACCCAGGCACCUUUGGUAUUUCCCACCCAGCUUGCCCUGGGUUCUCAGGUGGAUCUUGCUUGAGGACGUUGCAGUAAAAGAAAGCCCUGUGAAAGGCAGUGCCAAGCUCUUGUAGAGACCGGCCCUAGUGCUCACUGCAGGAUGACUAGAAUUAGCAGUAAUAUAUUAUGUACUUGCAAACAGCUAGAAGGAGACUAUUGACUGCUCUCGACACAAAUAAAUGAUAAAUGUUUGAGAUGAUGCAUAUGCUAAUUACCCUGAUCUGAUCACUAUACAUUAGAGGUAUUGAAACACCACUGUAUACCCCCAUGAAUAUGUACAAUGAUUAUCUGUCACAUUU
Sapajus apella (tufted capuchin) is the source of this 6521-nucleotide long non-coding RNA. RefSeq lists it as uncharacterized. The transcript is spliced from 2 exons. The record is from RefSeq and is a predicted model, not a curated record. Lineage: Eukaryota; Metazoa; Chordata; Mammalia; Primates; Cebidae.